This is a long non-coding RNA of Penaeus chinensis, 807 nucleotides long. RefSeq lists it as uncharacterized. NCBI's taxonomy places the organism in Eukaryota, Metazoa, Arthropoda, Malacostraca, Decapoda, Penaeidae. The record is from RefSeq and is a predicted model, not a curated record. The transcript has 4 exons.
GCUAGCGAUGUGUCGGGUCGUUUCGCCCGUGUGUGUGCGCGCGCGUGAGCUCAGUGAGUAGCGUCGUCAUAUUGUUUCGCCGGAAUCAAAGCGCAGCGCAGACGACCUCCAGGAUGUUUAUAAAGUGUAGUGAACGUGGAAUUUUGAUUAAGGUUGUAUUUUGUGGAUAAGCGAUGUGGAUAAAUUGAUGUUUUUUACAUGAAAAGAAGAAAAAAGGACAAAAAAGAUCUUGUGAUAUAACAAAAAAACUGAUUUUUUGUAUAGUGAGUGUUAAGUUGAAGUGGAUUUGUGUCAUUGAAGAUUGAGGAGAAAAUAUCUGCAUUGAAAAGGUGCGAGGAGCGUGAGGCAGAACCCGAGAUUCGCUCUGCAAGGAUGCACAGCUGAGGAGCGGCGUGAAGUAACUUGAACAAAGUGAAUGUCAUGAAGUUAGUUUUAAACCCGGAAAAGGUAAGUGAGUACAGAUGGUGAAUGUUAAUGAGUUUACUUGUACUAGAGUUGAGGCUUUAAGGCCCAGCAUGUGUGAUGGUGGCUGUUCCUCUUGCUAUAAUAUGCUUCCUGGUUUUAGAGCGUUGGUUUCCAUUAAAUGAAACAGUCUUCAUUCUUUAUUCUUGAUUAAUGUAAGUUGUAGUCAGUAGCUGUCUUAAGGUAACGAAAGGAAAUAGUAAAAUCUGGCAUCUACUCGAAGUAAGCCGGCAAUAUCAAUACAAAUUUAUCACCUGCCAUGUAAAUUCUACUGCCGGGGGGCAAAUUUACUCUCUGGCUUUAAAAUAUCACCCUCCCUGUUCUAAGUAAAGAGUACCUUAGCUA